GACGAACGCUGGCGGCGUGCCUAACACAUGCAAGUCGAACGGAAAGGCCCUGAUUUUGUGCGGUGCCCGAGUGGCGAACGGGUGAGUAACACGUGUGUAACCUGCCCUUGACUUUCGGAUAACUUCAGGAAACUGGGGCUAAUAUAGGAUAGGAGCUCCUGCUCCAUGGUGGGGGUUGGAACGUUUCGGCGGUUGGGGAUGGACUGGCGGGUUACCAGCUUGCUGGUGGGGUAGUGGCUUACCAAGGCUUUGACGGGUAGCCGGCCUGGGAGGGUGACCGGCCACAAGGGGACUGAGAGAGGGACCAGACGCCAACGUGAGGCAGCGGGGGGGAAUAUUGCACAAUGGGCGGAAGCCUGAGGCAGCAGCGUCGCGUGCGGGAUGACGGCCUUCGGGUUGUAAACCGCUUUCGCCUGUGACGAAGCGUGAGUGACGGUAAUGGGUAAAGAAGCACCGGCUAACUACGUG
RNAcentral lists this ribosomal RNA (468 nucleotides) under uncultured bacterium. RNAcentral's name for it is "partial 16S ribosomal RNA". It matches the Rfam family "Bacterial small subunit ribosomal RNA", at positions 28 to 507 of the family's 1533-position model. The record is from RNAcentral.